This 253-nucleotide ribosomal RNA is filed under the name uncultured bacterium. RNAcentral's name for it is "partial 16S ribosomal RNA". It matches the Rfam family "Bacterial small subunit ribosomal RNA", at positions 524 to 776 of the family's 1533-position model. The record is from RNAcentral.
UACGUAGGCAGCGAGCGUUGUUCGGAAUUACUGGGCGUAAAGAGUGUGUAGGCGGUGCUCUAAGUUCGGUGUGAAAUCUCCUGGCUCAACUGGGAGGGUGCGCCGGAAACUGGAGUGCUUGAGCGUAGGAGAGGAAAGCGGAAUUCCUGGUGUAGCGGUGAAAUGCGUAGAUAUCAGGAGGAACACCUGUGGUGUAGACGGCUUUCUGGACCAUAGCUGACGCUGAGACACGAAAGCGUGGGUAGCAAACGGG